GUGACGGAACAGAGCGUGUUGAGAUGUUUGUCUGUCAGUAACUCCUCGCUGAUGUUGUGCUUUAUUCUGCAGAGCAUUUGUUUCCCUUGCAGAGGGCCUCAGCGCUGCGCCGCUGAUCUACACAAGAGACAGAGUUCUUUGAGGAAUUCACCACAAGGAUGUUGGAGAACUCUCUCCAUCCAGCUGGGCUGAUCAGCGCUUCCUGGGCCGGGCCCGAUGUGUGUGUCGCCUCAAUGUUUCUGUUUCUUCCAUCAGG
Salarias fasciatus (jewelled blenny) is the source of this 256-nucleotide long non-coding RNA. RefSeq lists it as uncharacterized. The transcript is spliced from 3 exons. Lineage: Eukaryota; Metazoa; Chordata; Actinopteri; Blenniiformes; Blenniidae. The record is from RefSeq and is a predicted model, not a curated record.